CUAUGACUUUUAAAAUCAUGGCAGAAGGAG
This 30-nucleotide non-coding RNA is filed under the name unclassified sequences. The record is from RNAcentral.